RNAcentral lists this ribosomal RNA (797 nucleotides) under uncultured delta proteobacterium. Its description in RNAcentral is "bacterial SSU rRNA". It matches the Rfam family "Bacterial small subunit ribosomal RNA", at positions 8 to 826 of the family's 1533-position model. The record is from RNAcentral. Lineage: Bacteria; Deltaproteobacteria.
AGAGUUUGAUCCUUGGCUCAGAACGAACGCUGGCGGCGUGCUUAACACAUGCAAGUCGAACGAGAAAGCUCUUCGGAGUGAGUAGAGUGGCGCACGGGUGAGUAAUGGAUAGGAACGUACCUUCAGGAGGGGGAUAACCAUUGGAAACGAUGGCUAAUACCGCGUGGUAUCGCAAGAUUAAAGGUGGCCUCUGUAUAUGCUACCGCCUGAAGAUCGGCCUAUCUCCCAUUAGCUAGUUGGUAGGGUAAUGGCCUACCAAGGCUACGAUGGGUAGCUGGUCUGAGAGGAUGAUCAGCCACACUGGGACUGAGACACGGCCCAGACUCCUACGGGAGGCAGCAGUGGGGAAUAUUGCACAAUGGGCGAAAGCCUGAUGCAGCAACGCCGCGUGAGUGAAGAAGGAAUUUUUUUCGUAAAGCUCUAUCAGCAGGGAAGAAGGUAGUUUGGGUGAAUAAUCCGAAUUAUUGACGGUACCUGACUAAGAAGCACUGGCUAACUCCGUGCCAGCAGCCGCGGUAAUACGGGGGGUGCAAGCGUUGUUCGGAUUGACUGGGCGUAAAGAGCGCGUAGGCGGAUUUGUAAGUCGAAUGUGAAACCCAGGGCUCACCCUGGAANUGCAUUCGAACUCAUUCUUUGAAUCCCAAGGGGUGGUGGAAUUCAGGUGUACAGUGAACGCGUAAAUUCUGGAGGACCCAGAAGCCAAGCGGCCACUGGUGGUGNAUGCCCUUAAGCNCNAANNUGGNGCAACAGGAUUAAUCCCUGGAGNCAGCCGNACAANGAUCUAGGGUCGGAGGUAC